AGAGUUUGAUCAUGGCUCAGAACGAACGCUGGCGGCGUGCCUAACACAUGCAAGUCGAGCGAGAAAAUUGGCUUCGGCCAGUGAGUAAAGCGGCGCACGGGUGAGUAACGCGUGGACAAUCUGCCUCAUGGUUCAGAAUAACCUGCCGAAAGGGGGCUAAUGCUGGAUAAGUUCUUUGGGACUGCGGUCUUGGAGAAGAAACGAUGCUCGCAAGGGUGUCGCCGUGAGAUGAGUCCGCGUCCCAUCAGGUAGUUGGCGGGGUAACGGCCCCCAAGCCUAAGACGGGUAGCUGGUCUGAGAGGAUGAUCAGCCACACUGGAACUGAGACACGGUCCAGACUCCUACGGGAGGCAGCAGUGGGGAAUUUUGGUCAAUGGGCGCAAGCCUGAACCAGCAACGCCGCGUGGGUGAUGAAGGCCUUCGGGUUGUAAAGCCUGUCGGGAGGGACGAAUGAACGGCUUAACAAACCGGAAUGACGGUACCUCCAAAGGAAGCACCGGCUAACUCUGUGCCAGCAGCCGCGGUAAUACAGAGGGUGCAAGCGUUGUUCGGAAUUACUGGGCGUAAAGCGCGUGUAGGCGGUCCGCCAAGUCUGAUGUGAAAGCCCUGGGCUCAACCCAGGAAGUGCGUCAGAUACUGGUAGACUGGAGUGGCGGAGAGGAUGGCGGAAUUCCCGGUGUAGAGGUGAAAUUCGUAGAUAUCGGGAGGAACACCUGUGGCGAAGGCGGCCAUCUGGACGUCAACUGACGCUGAGACGCGAAAGCAUGGGGAGCAAACAGGAUUAGAUACCCUAGUAGUCC
RNAcentral lists this ribosomal RNA (800 nucleotides) under uncultured bacterium. RNAcentral's name for it is "bacterial SSU rRNA". It matches the Rfam family "Bacterial small subunit ribosomal RNA", at positions 8 to 796 of the family's 1533-position model. The record is from RNAcentral.